This 322-nucleotide long non-coding RNA is filed under the name Capra hircus (goat). RNAcentral describes it as "lncRNA (ENSCHIG00000002519.1)". Lineage: Eukaryota; Metazoa; Chordata; Mammalia; Artiodactyla; Bovidae. The record is from RNAcentral.
AGUCUUUCUUCUUUUUUUUUUCCCCUUUAUUUAAUAGACCCUGAUUGUACAUAUGGGACAUUCAGUGAAUGGAGCAGAUAAAAGUCACAAAAAUGAUGCUUCUGAGGUCCUGUCAAGCCCCUUAAGUAUAUCAUGGAUUAACAGCAAUUUGAAAAAUGAAAUUGUGGUUGUAUCUGGCUCACCAACAAACAAAGGAAAGGGCGAUGUAAACACUAUAUGGAAAUAUGUGAUCUGUUAAAUUAUAAAUUCACAUUUAAAGAAUUAGAACCACAAAAAAUGUGUAUUGUGCAAAAAUAUGAGUUCAAAUUAUAAUUAUAAGCAG